Molecule: long non-coding RNA, 2220 nt
Organism: Capsicum annuum
Lineage: Eukaryota; Viridiplantae; Streptophyta; Magnoliopsida; Solanales; Solanaceae
Exons: 2
Source: RefSeq, a predicted model, not a curated record
AAAUUUUGUCUUUUUGAAGGUUAUAAGGUAUGUAAAAGAUGUAUUUGGUUGAUUAAAAAUAAGGGCAAGCAAAAAGGGAAAAAAAUUCCCCUAAGUGCACAAAAUAGCGGCUCUCCGCGAUGAGGUCCACGUCGCACUAUAAAAAAUAUCUUGGAUGCAAAUUUUAGUUAGCCUCCAUGAUAGCCUUGCGUUGUGAAAUUUAUCACAGAGAGAAACCUCUAUAUCACAGAGGGUAUUUUUUUUUAGAUUUCACUUUAAAUGGCUGGGUAUUACCCAAGCUCACCUCCCAUGACCCGAUUUCCCAUCUUUACUCCCCUAUAAUUUCCCAUUGCCCUUCCCUAUUUCUAAAUCCAGUGUGUUGUCCCUCUACAAAUAUUUCUCCAAAUUCUCUCAACUUCCAAGCGCAUCGCGACAAGCAUACCCAUAAUCUUCAAUCUUCUUCUCUACAUCUUCAAAAAACAUAUGUUCCCAACUUAUUCCAUUUCUCCUUUUCACAUAAUGUUAGUUAGAAUCUGAUAUAGUUCACAAUUAUUUUAGUGGUGUGCUUGAUCUUUAGUUAGUUAGGAUAUUUUCACUGGUGCUUUAGUCCCUCCCAAAGAACUUCUUGUGUGUCUGAGCUUGUAUGCUUUAAAUUUUCUUUCUCUUAAACUGUGUAAGGGAAAUUAAUGAAGCUUAGAGUCACAAUAGAAUAGUACAUGUUCUUUUCUCAAAUCCAAAGAUUACAGUGGAUGUUUUCUAUGUAUAUGAUGCUUACUCUAAUUAACUCAUGGAUUAGAUAUUGUGAACAUGUGAGUGUGGGAUGAAAAAGGGAAGUGUACCAUGGACCACUAACAACAAAAAGAAAAGGAUAUUUUUGGCCCAUUUGAUCCCUCAAAGAAAAGAAAUAGGCAAACUAAAAGAGUACUGAGAGCUCCUGCAGUUCCCCAUGGUAAGUCUCAGUGAUACGUAACCAGAUGGGUCAAAAAAACUAACAAGAAAUAGUAUACAAAGCAUAAUGAGAUAAAAUAUUUCACGAAAGAGUUCAUUAACCGAGCAAGUUUGAUGAAGGAGUACCCUAGUAUGGUGACAAGGCUGGAACAGCUGCAUAUGAAGUUCAUAUUUCAGCAGCCCACAGAAUGCAAUUUGCAUCUUCUUUGGGAGUCUUAUGCUUAUUACGACCCAGGAUCCUGAUUCUGAGGUGAAGUUCCGUGGAUAGGUAUUGACUUUUUCAGCCAAUCUCUUGAAUUGAAUUAAAGGCAUCCCUGCGAGAGAUGCAGCCCCUCUAAAACAGCUAAGAAUAACCCCACCAUAUGAAGACAUAACACCCAUUUUAUGGAAAGAAGUCUACAGCUUAAUGGAAUCAUCAUAGAGAUAGUGGCCUUCACCUUACUUUUUUGUAUGCUCAAAUAAAUAGGGAGGCACGUAUGUGGAUGAAGAUUAUCUGUCAUUUCCUAAUUCUAGGAAAACACAUCAUGUAUGUUACUCAUGACAUGGUAUGUCUAGUUUAUGCUUUAAUGCAGGAUGAUAUUUAUAUAAAUGUGGCUGUUGUUAUAUUGUCUAUAAUAAUGAAGGCGCGCUACAAUCAGGGGCAAAGAUAUGGAUUCGAGGGAUAGCUGACAAAGUUUUAAUGAAAGGGGGUUAAAGAUGAGGCUCUAGAUUAUAGGGCAAUUGUAGAAGCCCUAUAGAUGUGACCAAGACUAGAGAGAUGGAUAUGGAUCAUAGAUUGGUGAAGACUAUGCCCGAGCAUCAAGCUUGGAAUGAUGAGAUUACAGCCAGUAUUUAUGGGCUACAGAGAUCCAACUGAUAGUAGGGGUAGACCUGCUAUGAUUUAGUAGAUUCGUAUUAUCGUGCUAGAUUACCCUCUUGAUCACCAUUCUCGGACUUUUUUGAGAAUAGGCCCAAAAUUUGUAGAGCUUGUUAAUAAUGAUGUACUCACAAAUAAGGAGCACCAUUUGAGAAAUUUUGAUAUUGAUUCUGAGGAGGGGGAGGUAGUGGACCCAAAUAUAAGAGUUGAGGCAUACGAUCCCGAUGUCGAUGAUAACAUGAAUGAUUUCGGAUCAGGGAGUGUCACACCACCUUAUUACUUAGUGAUUCCUGUAACAACCGAGGACAAUGCUAUAUUUUAAUGUGGGUGGUGGUUCUUAUUCUUUGUAGCUCUAAUUUUAUUAAUAUUUGUGGACGUUUUGUUAUUCUUGGAUAUUUAUUUUUCUUAUUGUUGAUAUGGUGAUGUGACUUUGAUGA